This 719-nucleotide ribosomal RNA is filed under the name uncultured bacterium. RNAcentral describes it as "bacterial SSU rRNA". It matches the Rfam family "Bacterial small subunit ribosomal RNA", at positions 640 to 1361 of the family's 1533-position model. The record is from RNAcentral.
UCUUGAGUGUUGGAGAGGAAAGCGGAAUUCCUGGUGUAGCGGUGAAAUGCGUAGAUAUCAGGAGGAACACCGGUGGCGAAGGCGGCUUUCUGGACGGUAACUGACGCUGAGGCGCGAAAGCGUGGGUAGCAAACAGGAUUAGAUACCCUGGUAGUCCACGCUGUAAACGAUGGAUACUAGGUGUAGGGGGUAUCGACCCCCCCUGUGCCGGAGUUAACACAAUAAGUAUCCCACCUGGGGAGUACGGCCGCAAGGUUGAAACUCAAAGGAAUUGACGGGGGCCCGCACAAGCAGUGGAGUAUGUGGUUUAAUUCGAAGCAACGCGAAGAACCUUACCAGGGCUUGACAUACUGAGGAAUGCUGUCGAGAGGCAGCAGCCCUUCGGGGCCUCAGAACAGGUGGUGCAUGGUUGUCGUCAGCUCGUGUCGUGAGAUGUUGGGUUAAGUCCCGCAACGAGCGCAACCCUUGCAGUCAGUUGGCAUCAUUAAGUUGGCCACUCUGAGUGGACUGCCGGUGACAAAUCGGAGGAAGGUGGGGACGACGUCAAAUCAUCAUGCCCCUUAUGUCCUGGGCUACACACGUACUACAAUGGCUGCUACAGAGGGAAGCGAAGCCGCGAGGCAGAGCGGAUCCUAAAAAGCAGUCUCAGUUCAGAUUGCGGGCUGCAACCCGCCCGCAUGAAGCAGGAAUUGCUAGUAAUGGCAGGUCAGCAUACUGUC